Molecule: ribosomal RNA, 431 nt
Filed under: Fusarium culmorum
Lineage: Eukaryota; Fungi; Ascomycota; Sordariomycetes; Hypocreales; Nectriaceae
Description: eukaryotic LSU rRNA
Rfam family: 5.8S ribosomal RNA (bases 100-253)
Source: RNAcentral
ACGGUUCACCCCUGGCCCCGCAAAAAGGGCCGGGCCCGCCGAGGAACCCUCCCCUCUGUUUUUAGUGGAACUUCUGAGUAUAAAAGCCAAAUAAUGAAAAACUUUCAACAACGGAUCUCUUGUUUCUGGCAUCUAUCAAGAACGCAGCAUAAGGGAAUAACUAAUGUGAAUUGCAUAAUUCAUUGAAUCAUCGAAUGUUUGAACGCCAAUUGCGCCCGCCAGCAUUCUGGCGGGCAUGCCUGUUCCAGCGUGGUUUCCACCCUCAAGGCCAUGUUGGAGCUGGGAGUUGGCUUGCUGCUGGACUCCCCGAAUACAUUGGGGGUCACGACGAGCUUCCAUAGAGUAGUAAUUUACACAUCCGUACUGGUAAUCGUCGCGGCCACGCCGGUAAACCCCACCUUCUGAAUGUUGACCUCGGAUCAGGUAGGAAU